UACGGAGGGUGCAAGCGUUGUUCGGAUUUACUGGGCGUAAAGCGCGCGCAGGUGGGUGUGCAAGUCGGAAGUGAAAUCCUGGGGCUCAACCCUGGGGCUGCUGCCGAAACUGCAUGUCUUGGGACUGGUAGGGGCUGGUAGAAUUCCCGGUGUAGCGGUGGAAUGCGUAGAUAUCGGGAAGAAUACCCGUGGCGAAGGCGGCCAGCUGGGCCAGAUCCGACACUGAGGCGCGAAAGCGUGGGGAGCAAACAGG
This 253-nucleotide ribosomal RNA is filed under the name uncultured bacterium. RNAcentral describes it as "partial 16S ribosomal RNA". It matches the Rfam family "Bacterial small subunit ribosomal RNA", at positions 524 to 776 of the family's 1533-position model. The record is from RNAcentral.